UCUCCGUAGGUGAACCUGCGGAGGGAUCAUUACAGAGUUCAUGCCCUAACGGGUAGUUCUCCCACCCUAUGUUAUCAUCACUUUGUUGCUUUGGCGGGCCGUCAGGCCUCGGCUUGGCUACCGGCUCUCGCUGGUAAGCGCCCGCCAGAGAACCCCAAACCCUGAAUAUCAGUGUCGUCUGAGUACUAUAUAAUAGUUAAAACUUUCAACAACGGAUCUCUUGGUUCUG
This 229-nucleotide unclassified non-coding RNA is filed under the name plant metagenome. Its description in RNAcentral is "partial contains small subunit ribosomal RNA, internal transcribed spacer 1, and 5.8S ribosomal RNA". The record is from RNAcentral.